Long non-coding RNA from Numida meleagris (helmeted guineafowl), 329 nucleotides. RefSeq lists it as uncharacterized. The record is from RefSeq and is a predicted model, not a curated record. The transcript has 2 exons. Lineage: Eukaryota; Metazoa; Chordata; Aves; Galliformes; Numididae.
GAUGCAGCAAGUCGUUCUUUCUUCCUUUCUUCUUGCAGGUGCCACCGAUCCUCUGCAUCCUGCGCAGCUGCGUGCGCUCCAUGCAGCAGAGCAUGCUCCUGCCCAUCCUCUGCCAGGCGGUGGUCAUCCUCACACGCUGUCACGCAGAGCUCAUGAUUGACAACUUCUUCCGGCUGUUUGAGCCCACAGACAGUGACACGUGGAGGAGAAGAAUAAGAGCAUUUUGUCUUCGAGAGGGGAGCCGGUAGAGGAUUGAAAAGAACAGGAAGGCCGAGCUAAAAGCUUUGUAUUAUUUAUUAAAAAUUAAAAAUCUAAAACUUAAAUUUUAA